Molecule: ribosomal RNA, 294 nt
Filed under: uncultured soil bacterium
Lineage: Bacteria
Description: partial 16S ribosomal RNA
Rfam family: Bacterial small subunit ribosomal RNA
Source: RNAcentral
AGAACGAACGCUGGCGGCAGGCCUAACACAUGCAAGUCGAGCGCUGUAGCAAUACAGAGCGGCGCACGGGUGAGUAACACGUGGGAACGUGCCCUUUGGUUCGGAAUAACUCAGGGAAACUUGAGCUAAUACCGGAUGAGCCCUAACGGGGAAAGAUUUAUCGCCGAAGGAGCGGCCCGCGUUGGAUUAGCUAGUUGGUGGGGUAAAAGCCUACCAAGGCGACGAUCCAUAGCUGGUUUGAGAGAACGACCAGCCACACUGGGACUGAGACACGGCCCAGGACUCCGUACGGGA